RNAcentral lists this ribosomal RNA (440 nucleotides) under uncultured bacterium. RNAcentral describes it as "partial 16S ribosomal RNA". It matches the Rfam family "Bacterial small subunit ribosomal RNA", at positions 338 to 795 of the family's 1533-position model. The record is from RNAcentral.
CCUACGGGGGGCAGCAGUGGGGAAUAUUGCACAAUGGGGGAAACCCUGAUGCAGCGACGCCGCGUGAGUGAAGAAGUAUUUCGGUAUGUAAAGCUCUAUCAGCAGGGAAGAAAAUGACGGUACCUGAUUAAGAAGCCCCGGCUAACUACGUGCCAGCAGCCGCGGUAAUACGUAGGGGGCAAGCGUUAUCCGGAUUUACUGGGUGUAAAGGGAGCGUAGACGGCAGCACAAGUCUGGAGUGAAAUGCCGGGGCUUAACCCCGGAACUGCAUUGGAAACUGUGCAGCUGGAGUGCAGGAGAGGUAAGUGGAAUUCGUGGUGUAGCGGUGAAAUGCGUAGAUAUUAGGAGGAACACCAGUGGCGAAGGCGGCCUACUGGACUGUAACUGACGUUGAGGCUCGAAGGCGUGGGGAGCAAACAGGAUUAGAUACCCCUGUAGUC